UACGGGGGGAGCAAGCGUUGUUCGGAUUUACUGGGCGUAAAGGGCGCGUAGGCGGCUGUGACAAGUCACUUGUGAAAUCUCCGGGCUUAACUCGGAACGGUCAAGUGAUACUGUCGUGCUAGAGUACAGAAGGGGCAACUGGAAUUCUCGGUGUAGCGGUGAAAUGCGUAGAUAUCGAGAGGAACACCUGCGGCGAAGGCGGGUUGCUGGGCUGAUACUGACGCUGAGGCGCGAAAGCAUGGGGAGCGAACAGG
RNAcentral lists this ribosomal RNA (254 nucleotides) under uncultured bacterium. RNAcentral's name for it is "partial 16S ribosomal RNA". It matches the Rfam family "Bacterial small subunit ribosomal RNA", at positions 524 to 776 of the family's 1533-position model. The record is from RNAcentral.